This 846-nucleotide long non-coding RNA is filed under the name Equus asinus (donkey). RNAcentral describes it as "lncRNA (ENSEASG00005034478.1)". Lineage: Eukaryota; Metazoa; Chordata; Mammalia; Perissodactyla; Equidae. The record is from RNAcentral.
CACGCUUUGACUUGUGUUCUGAUGGGAGAAAAAAUCUGCUGACCCCUGGUGUAGGAUGUAGAAGAGGAAUUUAAGGGAGAGCAGUCUGUUUAGAAUUUUCUUCAUACUGUCUACAGCCACUGCUUACCCCCAGAGGAGUCGUCAGAAGCAAAUUGCAGAAAAUGUGGCAGUUCUUAGCGUCUAAAAAGCAAAACAGAAGAGUGAAACAAGGAUUGAAGAAGGAAAUGUGAUGAGUCGGAACAAUUCUAGAUUGGAGAUGCCUCAUGACUUCUGAAGCUCAGGUCCAAGCAAAGUUUCUUUGCCAGGCCAAACUCCAACUGGAAGGAUAAGCUUGGCCUCUGAACUCAGAUGAAGCGCGGAUGAAACCUAUCCAUUUUUGCUGUUUUGGUGAAGCAGAAGCUCCACAUCUUAUGUUGUUGCUGAAUCAUGCUGUUCCUGUGGAGGAGUCUCAUUCAGUCCCAUGUGUACUAUUUUAGCAGAUUUUAGGACUCCCCAUUUUUAUCUGCAGUCUUGACUUGAAAUCUAGACUCACUUAUCGAAGUGACAUCUUCAUCUGGGUGUCCAGUAGGCAUCUCUGAUUGACCAUGUUCAAGACAGACUCUUGAUUCCUCCCCACCACCCCUUCCUCCUAAAGCAUCCCCCAGUUGUGUCAAGUGGCACCAUCUAUUUCCUGAGGCCUAAACCUUGGAGUUAACCUUGACUCUUCCAUUCUCUUCACACCCUAUAUCCAGUCUAUCGGCUCUACAUGUUGUUUUGUCUCUACCUUCAAAAAUAUAUCCACCUCCACUGCUGUCACCCAGGUACAAGCCACCAUUAGCCCUCUUUUUUUUUUUUUUUUUUGAGGAA